Molecule: ribosomal RNA, 2247 nt
Filed under: Salmonella enterica subsp. enterica serovar Hvittingfoss
Lineage: Bacteria; Pseudomonadati; Pseudomonadota; Gammaproteobacteria; Enterobacterales; Enterobacteriaceae
Description: partial 23S ribosomal RNA
Rfam family: Bacterial large subunit ribosomal RNA
Source: RNAcentral
GUGACUGCGUACCUUUUGUAUAAUGGGUCAGCGACUUAUAUUCUGUAGCAAGGUUAACCGAAUAGGGGAGCCGGAGGGAAACCGAGUCUUAAUUGGGCGUUAAGUUGCAGGGUAUAGACCCGAAACCCGGUGAUCUAGCCAUGGGCAGGUUGAAGGUUGGGUAACACUAACUGGAGGACCGAACCGACUAAUGUUGAAAAAUUAGCGGAUGACCUGUGGCUGGGGGUGAAAGGCCAAUCAAACCGGGAGAUAGCUGGUUCUCCCCGAAAGCUAUUUAGGUAGCGCCUCGUGAAUUCAUCUCCGGGGGUAGAGCACUGUUUCGGCUAGGGGGCCAUCCCGGCUUACCAACCCGAUGCAAACUGCGAAUACCGGAGAAUGUUAUCACGGGAGACACACGGCGGGUGCUAACGUCCGUCGUGAAGAGGGAAACAACCCAGACCGCCAGCUAAGGUCCCAAAGUCAUGGUUAAGUGGGAAACGAUGUGGGAAGGCCCAGACAGCCAGGAUGUUGGCUUAGAAGCAGCCAUCAUUUAAAGAAAGCGUAAUAGCUCACUGGUCGAGUCGGCCUGCGCGGAAGAUGUAACGGGGCUAAACCAUGCACCGAAGCUGCGGCAGCGACGCUUAUGCGUUGUUGGGUAGGGGAGCGUUCUGUAAGCCUGUGAAGGUGGCCUGUGAGGGUUGCUGGAGGUAUCAGAAGUGCGAAUGCUGACAUAAGUAACGAUAAAGCGGGUGAAAAGCCCGCUCGCCGGAAGACCAAGGGUUCCUGUCCAACGUUAAUCGGGGCAGGGUGAGUCGACCCCUAAGGCGAGGCCGAAAGGCGUAGUCGAUGGGAAACAGGUUAAUAUUCCUGUACUUGGUGUUACUGCGAAGGGGGGACGGAGAAGGCUAUGUUGGCCGGGCGACGGUUGUCCCGGUUUAAGCGUGUAGGUGUGUGUUCCAGGUAAAUCCGGUUCACUUUAACACUGAGGCGUGAUGACGAGGCACUACGGUGCUGAAGCAACAAAUGCCCUGCUUCCAGGAAAAGCCUCUAAGCAUCAGGUAACAUCAAAUCGUACCCCAAACCGACACAGGUGGUCAGGUAGAGAAUACCAAGGCGCUUGAGAGAACUCGGGUGAAGGAACUAGGCAAAAUGGUGCCGUAACUUCGGGAGAAGGCACGCUGACACGUAGGUGAAGUGAUUUACUCACGGAGCUGAAGUCAGUCGAAGAUACCAGCUGGCUGCAACUGUUUAUUAAAAACACAGCACUGUGCAAACACGAAAGUGGACGUAUACGGUGUGACGCCUGCCCGGUGCCGGAAGGUUAAUUGAUGGGGUCAGCGCAAGCGAAGCUCCUGAUCGAAGCCCCGGUAAACGGCGGCCGUAACUAUAACGGUCCUAAGGUAGCGAAAUUCCUUGUCGGGUAAGUUCCGACCUGCACGAAUGGCGUAAUGAUGGCCAGGCUGUCUCCACCCGAGACUCAGUGAAAUUGAACUCGCUGUGAAGAUGCAGUGUACCCGCGGCAAGACGGAAAGACCCCGUGAACCUUUACUAUAGCUUGACACUGAACAUUGAGCCUUGAUGUGUAGGAUAGGUGGGAGGCUUUGAAGCGUGGACGCCAGUCUGCGUGGAGCCGACCUUGAAAUACCACCCUUUAAUGUUUGAUGUUCUAACGUGGACCCGUAAUCCGGGUUGCGGACAGUGUCUGGUGGGUAGUUUGACUGGGGCGGUCUCCUCCUAAAGAGUAACGGAGGAGCACGAAGGUUGGCUAAUCCUGGUCGGACAUCAGGAGGUUAGUGCAAUGGCAUAAGCCAGCUUGACUGCGAGCGUGACGGCGCGAGCAGGUGCGAAAGCAGGUCAUAGUGAUCCGGUGGUUCUGAAUGGAAGGGCCAUCGCUCAACGGAUAAAAGGUACUCCGGGGAUAACAGGCUGAUACCGCCCAAGAGUUCAUAUCGACGGCGGUGUUUGGCACCUCGAUGUCGGCUCAUCACAUCCUGGGGCUGAAGUAGGUCCCAAGGGUAUGGCUGUUCGCCAUUUAAAGUGGUACGCGAGCUGGGUUUAGAACGUCGUGAGACAGUUCGGUCCCUAUCUGCCGUGGGCGCUGGAGAACUGAGGGGGGCUGCUCCUAGUACGAGAGGACCGGAGUGGACGCAUCACUGGUGUUCGGGUUGUCAUGCCAAUGGCACUGCCCGGUAGCUAAAUGCGGAAGAGAUAAGUGCUGAAAGCAUCUAAGCACGAAACUUGCCCCGAGAUGAGUUCUCCCUGAGACUU